Acanthosepion pharaonis is the source of this 98-nucleotide non-coding RNA. The record is from the annotation of a GenBank genome assembly. Lineage: Eukaryota; Metazoa; Mollusca; Cephalopoda; Sepiida; Sepiidae.
AUUGAAACACCGGUUCCCGUACGAUAAGCGAAGUUAAGCAAUGUCGAACCUGCUCAGUACCUAGAUGGUGGCCGUUUGGGAGUAUCAGGUGCCGUAAG